RNAcentral lists this transfer RNA (51 nucleotides) under Tetranychus ludeni (bean spider mite). Its description in RNAcentral is "tRNA-Glu". The record is from RNAcentral. Lineage: Eukaryota; Metazoa; Arthropoda; Arachnida; Trombidiformes; Tetranychidae.
AAUUCUGUUUCAAAAGAUUUUCACUCUUUUUUUAUCAAAAAUUACAGAAUU